UUGCAGCGUUGUUUGUCU
RNAcentral lists this small nuclear RNA (18 nucleotides) under Arabidopsis thaliana (thale cress). RNAcentral describes it as "snRNA_02840". Lineage: Eukaryota; Viridiplantae; Streptophyta; Magnoliopsida; Brassicales; Brassicaceae. The record is from RNAcentral.